RNAcentral lists this transfer RNA (68 nucleotides) under Neoplocaederus obesus. RNAcentral's name for it is "tRNA-Tyr". It matches the Rfam family "tRNA". Rfam says of the family: Transfer RNA (tRNA) molecules are approximately 80 nucleotides in length. Their secondary structure includes four short double-helical elements and three loops (D, anti-codon, and T loops). Lineage: Eukaryota; Metazoa; Arthropoda; Insecta; Coleoptera; Cerambycidae. The record is from RNAcentral.
GGUAAGGUGGCUGAGGUUUAGGCAAUAAACUGUAAAUUUAUGAACGAAAUAUUGAAUUUCUCUUACCA